UACGGAGAGGGCUAGCGUUAUUCGGAAUUAUUGGGCGUAAAGGGCGCGUAGGCUGGUUAGUAAGUUAAAAGUGAAAUUCCGAGGCUUAACCUUGGAACUGCUUUUAAAACUGCUAACCUAGAGAUUGAAAGAGGAUAGAGGAAUUCCUAAUGUAGAGGUGAAAUUCGUAAAUAUUAGGAGGAACACCAGUGGCGAAGGCGUCUAUCUGGUUCAAAUCUGACGCUGAGGCGCGAAGGCGUGGGGAGCAAACA
This 251-nucleotide ribosomal RNA is filed under the name Wolbachia endosymbiont of Mermessus sp. RNAcentral describes it as "partial 16S ribosomal RNA". It matches the Rfam family "Bacterial small subunit ribosomal RNA", at positions 524 to 774 of the family's 1533-position model. Lineage: Bacteria; Pseudomonadati; Pseudomonadota; Alphaproteobacteria; Rickettsiales; Anaplasmataceae. The record is from RNAcentral.